GGGGAUGUAGCUCAGUGGUAGAGCACUUGCCUAGCAUGUACAAGGCCUUGGGUUCAAUCCCCAACACCACUG
Molecule: transfer RNA, 72 nt
Filed under: Ictidomys tridecemlineatus (thirteen-lined ground squirrel)
Lineage: Eukaryota; Metazoa; Chordata; Mammalia; Rodentia; Sciuridae
Description: Spermophilus tridecemlineatus (thirteen-lined ground squirrel) tRNA
Rfam family: tRNA
About the family: Transfer RNA (tRNA) molecules are approximately 80 nucleotides in length. Their secondary structure includes four short double-helical elements and three loops (D, anti-codon, and T loops). Further hydrogen bonds mediate the characteristic L-shaped molecular structure. tRNAs have two regions of fundamental functional importance: the anti-codon, which is responsible for specific mRNA codon recognition, and the 3' end, to which the tRNAs corresponding amino acid is attached (by aminoacyl-tRNA synthetases). tRNAs cope with the degeneracy of the genetic code in two manners: having more than one tRNA (with a specific anti-codon) for a particular amino acid; and 'wobble' base-pairing, i.e. permitting non-standard base-pairing at the 3rd anti-codon position.
Source: Rfam by way of RNAcentral